Pelobates cultripes (western spadefoot toad) is the source of this 96-nucleotide non-coding RNA. The record is from the annotation of a GenBank genome assembly. Lineage: Eukaryota; Metazoa; Chordata; Amphibia; Anura; Pelobatidae.
GUCUCUGUAUGUAUGUGUCUGUGUGUGUGUCUCUGUAUGUAUGUGUCUGUAUAAAACAGACACAUACAUACAGAGACAUACACACAUACAGACACA